GUAACCAUGUGCAUUUAAGUUUGUUACAGGGUACGUUAGGGUAAAGAGUAGAGCAACUGCUUGAUGUCUUUGCAAGCAGGAUGCCUACUUAAUUAUUAUUCCAUCUAUUUUUAAAACCAUCAUUUUCUAAAGUAACACUAUAACUAAAAGUACCUGGAUAUUCUGCUAAAUGUAGUUUAGAUACUCCACCCAAGAAGUGGAGCAGGGACCGUUUCUCAGGGACUUUUCUUCAUUCGACAAUAUUUAUCAAGAAAAUACAGUUCCAU
RNAcentral lists this unclassified non-coding RNA (266 nucleotides) under Hevea brasiliensis (rubber tree). Lineage: Eukaryota; Viridiplantae; Streptophyta; Magnoliopsida; Malpighiales; Euphorbiaceae. The record is from RNAcentral.